Molecule: non-coding RNA, 1543 nt
Organism: Pelodiscus sinensis (Chinese soft-shelled turtle)
Lineage: Eukaryota; Metazoa; Chordata; Testudines; Trionychidae
Source: RefSeq, a predicted model, not a curated record
GAGAGGCAACUGGGCAUGUAAACUGGAUGUAGAAUAACAGCUGAAAGGAGGUUGCUGCCUGUCUUUGUUAGGGGAAAGAAGGGGAGACUUGCUACUACCUCUGUCUUGGGAGGCUUCAACAAGCUGAUGAGAAAAGUUGAGCCCCUCAUGGAAUGUCACUGAAAUCCUCCCAAUGUGCAUCAGAACAAAAUACUCUGCAAGUAAAGGAAGAUACUGAAUAGUUCACAAGAGAGGAAUGAUUUUUACAGUACUGCAGAGAUGUCCUAUCAGUACAGGAGUGGCUGUCAAUCAGUAUCCUACAGGCCUCAAGAAAAAUUCAGUCAAUUUCAAUGGUUUUCUUUGAUUCCUACCAAAUGGCUUACCCAGUUAUGGGAUGUCUCUCUUCUGCCUAUGUCAAAAGCUACCGAGAAGCCUAGGAGCAAGAUGACUACAGAGAUUUCCCCCUUAGCUACUGAUAAGAGGAGACAAUCCUUCGCCUGUCAAAACCAGAUUUGCAAAGAGUUCUUUAAGUACCAUUCAUUAAACAGUUUUUUUGUUUUAAAUAUUUUCACAGCUGCCAGUCAGCCAAUCCUGGCAUGCUUUUUGAGAUAUAGUGGUAUCUACUGGUUUUUGUAUUGCAUCUGUACAAAGACUAAAAGAGAAGAGUCAAAUUCUCCUAUUUCAAUGAGAGCAUGAUCAUCUCUGUUAAGACAACAAGAAAAAACUGUUUUAACAUGCCUUCAUGUUGGAUGCCUUCUGAUGUUCUGGUAUCAUCACCCAAAGAAGUGGCAAUUCAAGUUAUUACAAGCUGAUGUUGCAUCAACCCCUCAUAUAUUUUAUGUUUUGGAUGCUUUUAAUGACUUAUAAGUCAUGACUAGCCUUUGAAAAACAGGCUGAAUGGCUACAUUAUUUUUGCCUGAACUAAAACAUGAGCAAGAAUUUUUGUUUUAAGAACUAUCAUAAUGCAUCCAACUCAGAUCAAAACGUUCCAUUUACAAAAAACUCUGUUCAUAAUGUGUGUUUAUUUUCAGAUACUUUUCCUUCCUUGGUUUGUAAUUCCAAGAGUCAUUAAAAAUGCAGUGACCUCUCAAGUCUAGUCUAGGGGCUAAUAAUAAUAUGAUGUCUCCCCACCACCAAUAUUUCUAGUAGGUUGAAUGUUAUUGGUAGGGUACACAAAUGCCACUUAAAAUCCACAUACAAUUAGACAUAAUCAUUCAUAUAUGUUAAGGUUAGGGAGAACCCUUGUGAUCAUCGGAUAUUCUGUACAGCAGUGGUUCCCAACCACCAGGCCACGGACCAGCACUGAGCUGCAAACUGCUGGCGGCCGGACUAUGGCACGUUAGCAGGCCCGGCCAUGCUCUGAGGAUUGGCUCGGCAGGAAUCUAAGUUCCCUGUAAGUUGUGCAACAAUGCAGUCGCACAGCUGCUAACUGAGUCCAGCCCAGAGGUCUAGGGCUCCCACACAGAGAGCUUCCUGGCUGGAGAGGCGCACUCCACAAGCAGCAGAAACUCCCUGCUUCAGGCAAUGAGCAUGCUGGUAGGGAAGGAGACAUAGGAAGGGAGGA